RNAcentral lists this ribosomal RNA (498 nucleotides) under uncultured bacterium. RNAcentral's name for it is "bacterial SSU rRNA". It matches the Rfam family "Bacterial small subunit ribosomal RNA", at positions 28 to 507 of the family's 1533-position model. The record is from RNAcentral.
GAUGAACGCUAGCGGCAGGCUUAAUACAUGCAAGUUGAGGGGCAGCAUGAUAUACGCGAGUAUAUUGAUGGCGACCGGCGGACGGGUGAGUAAUAGGUAGGAGACCUACCUCAUACAGGGGGAUAGCAUAGAGAAAUCUGUGGUAAUACCCCAUGAGGUUAUAUGAAUAGAGGCAUAUAAUCAAAGCAUAAGCGAUUAUGCGGUAUGAGAGGGGCCUACUGACCAUUAGCUAGUUGGUGAGGUAAGGGCUCACCAAGGCGAAGAUGGUUAGGGGUUUUGAGGAGAGAGACCCCCCACAUUGGAACUGAGAGACGGUCCAGACUCCUACGGGAGGCAGCAGUAGGGAAUAUUGGGCAAAUGGGCGAAAGCCUGACCCAGCCAUGCCGCGUGAAGGAAGACGGCCUUAUGGGGUUGUAAACUUCUUUACUACGCGAAUAGAGGUUAGUACGAGAUACUAAUAGGAAGGUAGUGUAGUAAAAAGCACCGGUAAACUCCGUG